Molecule: long non-coding RNA, 2753 nt
Organism: Felis catus (domestic cat)
Lineage: Eukaryota; Metazoa; Chordata; Mammalia; Carnivora; Felidae
Exons: 7
Source: RefSeq, a predicted model, not a curated record
CCAAAGUGGACAAGGAAUAAAAUAUAUAUGUCUGGUAGCUAGAUUCACAGUGAAGAAAUGUGGCCCAAAGGUAUAAAAUUGCACUUUAUUUUUUGCAUAGUAUGGGUCAGUUGCCCUGCUAGGCAUUUCCUCAUACAUCUGCAUCUUUAACGUGUGCAAUAGGUAUUUCUAUCCCCAUUUUAAAGAUGGGAGAACUGAAGGUGGUUUGAACCGAGGAAUAUAACAGAAAGUAGGGAAAAAAUGGCUUGUUGUCAGGUACCAGGGAGAAUCCCAUACUGGGUGAAAGAUUGAUCUGUAAGAACCUAAAUCCAGGAAAGCAGCCUAUGCAGCAGUGUUCAGGGAUCAGUGCUGACAAAUUCUCUGGGAAGCCUUCCCUAGUUCCUAGACCAGAUGAAGUCUUCUACUGGUCGCUGCCACAACACUCCAGGUCAUCUGCUCUUAAAUUCAGCAUGCUUUAUUAGAAUUAUUUGAAGUAAUAAACUUAUUCUCAGUGCAUAUUUUCAUGCACUAGAUUCGACCUUCUGCACCUAGUAUGUAUGACCGCAUUUUGUACAUAGAUGUUAACAGAUGGAUAGUGACAAAACUAUGGCAGAUUGUUCUUUUCUACUGGUCUUCACUCCCUUCCUGGAAGCAGGCCUUAGAUGGAGAAAAAGGAAUGAUUUAAUUAGCACAAGAAAGAGAAUUUUCAUCCUGUAAGAGGCAGCUAAUAUUAGCAAGAGAAUGGCUAACUUGUCUUGUAAUUGUUUCCCUCUCAAGGAACCCAGAGAGUUAAUCAGCUGUGGUCUCCAUACCAGAUCUGAGAAAAGCAAUGAAGAAACCUUUCCUUUGUUACUUCCUUCCUUGGUGAUUGCCUGCCUUCUUCACCAAUAUACUGGAGUUACAGAAUGCGGUGAUAUGUACUUUACAAUGGGAUUAAAUAUGGCAACAUGGCUAGAUCUGCACAAAUCUGGAACUCUCGUUCUGUUUGUGCUAUAGAGUCACUUUGCUGCUCUUACAUUUGCCCCAGGAACACUUUGCACAUGUUGCCUUUGUCCUAUUUAUCUCCUCCCAUUAUUGGUUGCCUACACACAGUGGGCUGAGCCCCUGAUGGCUGUAUUGUGACUAGGUCAUGGGCUGAAUUUGAACUGAAACUCUCAGUGACACGGAAUUAUUAUUUGAAGAAGCUGUCUGAAAUGACUUUCUAAGCAAAGACUUCAUUUGGAUUCUAAGGACCUGGGAUGCCAAACGUCAGCAAGUGAAAUGUGCCUCCAUGAUACUAAUUCCUGAUCAUCACCAGAGGACCAGUUGCACAAUGCAUGAAAAAACAUCAUUAUGAGUGGCUAUAAUGAUAGUAGAAAGAUCAUCCUACUAGGAAUGAGGAUAUUCUGCCUUUAAAAAAGCAGUGUAAACCUGAGACUUUGCAACUGGCAAGCAUUCUGAACCACAACAUCCCACAAUGCACUGGUGAUAACUUUCCUCCCAGACAGAUAUCAGCUAACCACAGUGUACAAUCAGCUGCCCACAUUGGAAGACACAAAUCAGAAAACCACUGUUCCAUAAUCACAGAAUUGAAAGAACUGCAUACGUAAAAUGACAGGCUAUUAAUUCUGGUUUGGAAAGCCUGAAUAGGACUUUUGAUGAAGUUUAAUUUUUUUUGGCUCUCCAGAAAUGGAUAAAUCAUUUAAAAUAAAAAUAGAUGUUGUAUUAUACGAUGCUCAUUUCUCUAAAUAUUUAUUAUUUGGGGGAAGUGUUUUUUUAAUGAUGAAAAAUAAUGAUGGUGUUCACAUGAAUGCUCCAAAAUAGCACACAGUUCAUCCUCUGUUGCCUCACUAAGCUCUAGAUUUGAAAAUUGUUUGGUGUAAUUUAAGUAAACCUAUAGUAUAUAAAAUUUUAAUUGAAAAGAUAUGAUAUUUCAUUAAAUGCUGUCACACGUUGCUAUUGUUGCCAAAUGAGGCUUGGCAGUACCUUGGGGACACUUCCCUACUGAUUGGAUUUUUGUCUCCAGCCUGAGCCAAAUAUAGCCUUCAAGAUACAUAUCAGCUAUCCUGUGUUGCAUGAGAGGAUUAUACAGACAUAGAUGUGGUAUACAUUUAUAUGUUUUUAUAGCAUUUAUAUGAUUUAUAUUCAUAUGAAUAUUUUUAUCAGCAAUUUCAUUACAAAACUGCAGUGGCAUGAGAAUAAUUACUUUUUAAAAGUCUUGCACCUGGAAGAGUAUUUAUAGUUCUAUGAAUUAUCUAUACAGAACGCUGUGACAGUAAGAUACAAAAAGAUGGGGGUGGGUAGUGGAGAACACAGUUUGGAAGUAAAUAUACUCUGGGAGUCAGUCUAGAAUAUAUAAGCAAGAAAAUUAAAGAGAAUCCUUUUUUGUUUUUGCAAAUUCUUUUUCCCAUCUAUGGUGAAUGAACUUGAUUUUUUUUUCUGGGGUUAACAAAUUCACCUUUUAAAAAUGUAGGGAAUAACAAUGAAAGGCAUAUGCACAUGACCACUGCAUUCUAAUUAGGACCCACAUAAUCAUAUGCUAGUUUGACUUAUGUCCUCUGCAAAGUAUGUUAGGGCCAAGGAACCAAUAGGACCACUUGCCUCAAAUUCUCUAGCACUUACUGAAGUAGUUAGUGAGCAACAAGAGGUAACAGCUGUGUGCUCAGUGAAAAAUCUAAUUCGCCUGGAGAAAACUGCUAAUGUAAAUCCACCGUUUUUCUCCAUUUGCACCAAAGCUGGGCAUUUACUAUAGGAUGCUGGUUUCUUCUAACCGUGCAUCUUUAAUUAUUACUUCU